RNAcentral lists this ribosomal RNA (292 nucleotides) under uncultured bacterium. RNAcentral's name for it is "partial 16S ribosomal RNA". It matches the Rfam family "Bacterial small subunit ribosomal RNA", at positions 505 to 796 of the family's 1533-position model. The record is from RNAcentral.
GUGCCAGCAGCCGCGGUAAUACAGAGGGUGCAAACGUUGCUCGGAAUCAUUGGGCGUAAAGCGCACGUAGGUGGCGCGUUAAGUCGGAUGUGAAAGCCCUGGGCUCAACCCAGGAAGUGCAUACGAAACUGGCGCGCUUGAGUAUGGAAGAGGGUCGCGGAAUUCCCGGUGUAGAGGUGAAAUUCGUAGAUAUCGGGAGGAACACCAGUGGCGAAGGCGGCGACCUGGGCCAAUACUGACACUGAGGUGCGAAAGCGUGGGGAGCAAACAGGAUUAGAUACCCGGGUAGUCC